UGGGGAAUAUUGGACAAUGGGGGAAACCCUGAUCCAGCAAUGCCGCGUGUGUGAAGAAGGCCUGAGGGUUGUAAAGCACUUUCAGUGGGGAAGAAAAAUCUUUGGUUAAGAGCUAAAGGUAUUGACGUUACCUAAAGAAGAAGCACCGGCUAACUCCGUGCCAGCAGCCGCGGUAAUACGGAGGGUGCAAGCGUUAAUCGGAAUUACUGGGCGUAAAGCGCGCGUAGGUGGUUAAGCAAGUUGUCUGUAAAAGCCCUGGGCUCAACCUAGGAAGGUCAGGCAAAACUGCUUAACUUUGAGUACAAGAGAGGGUAGUGGAAUUUCCGGUGUAGCGGUGAAAUGCGUAGAUAUCGGAAGGAACACCAGUGGCGAAGGCGGCUACCUGGCUUGAUACUGACACUGAGGCGCGAAAGCGUGGGGAGCAAACAG
Molecule: ribosomal RNA, 429 nt
Filed under: uncultured bacterium
Lineage: Bacteria
Description: bacterial SSU rRNA
Rfam family: Bacterial small subunit ribosomal RNA
Source: RNAcentral